GAUGAAGAACGUAGUGAAAUGCGAUAAGUAAUGUGAAUUGCAGAAUUCAGUGAAUCAUCGAAUCUUUGAACGCACAUUGCGCCCCCUGGUAUUCCGGGGGGCAUGCCUGUUCGAGCGUCAUUUCACCACUCAAGCCUCGCUUGGUAUUGGGCAACGCGGUCCGCCGCGUGCCUCAAAUCGACCGGCUGGGUCUUCUGUCCCCUAAGCGUUGUGGAAACUAUUCGCUAAAGGGUGUUCGGGAGGCUACGCCGUAAAACAACCCCAUUUCUAAGGUUGACCUCGGAUCAGGUAGGGAUACCCGCUGAACUUAAGCAUAUCAAUAAGCGGGGA
RNAcentral lists this unclassified non-coding RNA (330 nucleotides) under soil metagenome. Its description in RNAcentral is "partial contains 5.8S ribosomal RNA, internal transcribed spacer 2, and large subunit ribosomal RNA". The stretch from base 1 to 120 matches the Rfam family "5.8S ribosomal RNA", at positions 35 to 154 of the family's 154-position model. The record is from RNAcentral.